This 68-nucleotide ribozyme is filed under the name unclassified sequences. RNAcentral describes it as "pistol ribozyme". It matches the Rfam family "Pistol ribozyme". The record is from RNAcentral.
AAUCGUCUAAGCGAUUUCAAAAAAGGUAAUUAGGCUUAGAGCGUCCCCGAUAAUAUCGGGGGGUUUAC